Molecule: unclassified non-coding RNA, 336 nt
Filed under: soil metagenome
Description: partial contains 5.8S ribosomal RNA, internal transcribed spacer 2, and large subunit ribosomal RNA
Rfam family: 5.8S ribosomal RNA (bases 1-120)
Source: RNAcentral
GAUGAAGAACGCAGCGAAAUGCGAUAAGUAAUGUGAAUUGCAGAAUUCAGUGAAUCUUCGAAUCUUUGAACGCACAUUGCGCCCGCCAGUAUUCUGGCGGGCAUGCCUGUUCGAGCGUCAUUUCAACCAUCAAGCCCCAGGCUUGUGUUGGGGACCUGCGGCUGCCGCAGGCCCUGAAAACCAGUGGCGGGCUCGCUGUCACACCGGGCGUAGUAGAUUUUAUCUCGCUCAGGGCGUGCUGCGGGUUCCGGCCGUUAAAAAGCCUUUUUUACCCAAGGUUGACCUCGGAUCAGGUAGGAAUACCCGCUGAACUUAAGCAUAUCAAUAAGCGGAGGA